GAUGAACGCUGGCGGCGUGCCUAACACAUGCAAGUCGAACGGAGUCCAGCCUUUAAGACCUUCGGGUCAAAGAGGGGAAGACUGAGUGGCGGACGGGUGAGUAACACGUGGGCAACCUGGCUCAUAGAGGGGGAUAACAGAGAGAAAUCUCUGCUAAUACCGCAUAAGCACACACUGCCGCAUGGCAGAGGGUGAAAAGAGAAUCGCUAUGAGAUGGACCCGCGUCUGAUUAGCCAGUUGGCAGGGUAAGAGCCUACCAAAGCGACGAUCAGUAGCCGAUCUGAGAGGAUGAACGGCCACAUUGAGACUGAGACACGGCCCAAACUCCUACGGGAGGCAGCAGUGGGGGAUAUUGCACAAUGGGGGGAACCCUGAUGCAGCGACGCCGCGUGAGUGAAGAAGUAUUUCGGUAUGUAAAGCUCUAUCAGCAGGGAAGAUAAUGACAGUACCUGAAUAAGAAGCCCCGGCUAACUACGUG
This 478-nucleotide ribosomal RNA is filed under the name uncultured bacterium. Its description in RNAcentral is "partial 16S ribosomal RNA". It matches the Rfam family "Bacterial small subunit ribosomal RNA", at positions 28 to 507 of the family's 1533-position model. The record is from RNAcentral.